GUCCCUGUAGCGCAAUAGAUAGCGCGUUGAACUUCUAAUUCAAAGGUUGUGGUUUCAAACCUCACCUGGGAAG
Molecule: transfer RNA, 73 nt
Filed under: Trichonephila clavata
Lineage: Eukaryota; Metazoa; Arthropoda; Arachnida; Araneae; Nephilidae
Rfam family: tRNA
About the family: Transfer RNA (tRNA) molecules are approximately 80 nucleotides in length.
Source: Rfam by way of RNAcentral